CCCUUGAGGCGUGGCUUCCGGAGCUAACGCGUUAAGUCGACCGCCUGGGGAGUACGGCCGCAAGGUUAAAACUCAAAUGAAUUGACGGGGGCCCGCACAAGCGGUGGAGCAUGUGGUUUAAUUCGAUGCAACGCGAAGAACCUUACCUACUCUUGACAUCCAGAGAACUUAGCAGAGAUGCUUUGGUGCCUUCGGGAACUCUGAGACAGGUGCUGCAUGGCUGUCGUCAGCUCGUGUUGUGAAAUGUUGGGUUAAGUCCCGCAACGAGCGCAACCCUUAUCCUUUGUUGCCAGCGAUUCGGUCGGGAACUCAAAGGGGACUGCCAGUGAUAAACUGGAGGAAGGUGGGGAUGACGUCAAGUCAUCAUGGCCCUUACGAGUAGGGCUACACACGUGCUACAAUGGCAUAUACAAAGAGAAGCGACCUCGCGAGAGCAAGCGGACCUCAUAAAGUAUGUCGUAGUCCGGAUUGGAGUCUGCAACUCGACUCCAUGAAGUCGGAAUCGCUAGUAAUCGUGGAUCAGAAUGCCACGGUGAAUACGUUCCCGGGCCUUGUACACACCGCCCGUCACACCAUGGGAGUGGGUUGCAAAAGAAGUAGGUAGCUUAACCUUCGGGAGGGCGCUUACCACUUUGUGAUUCAUGACUGGGGUGAAGUCGUAACAAGGUAACCGUAGGGGAACCUGC
This 686-nucleotide ribosomal RNA is filed under the name uncultured bacterium. Its description in RNAcentral is "bacterial SSU rRNA". It matches the Rfam family "Bacterial small subunit ribosomal RNA", at positions 829 to 1515 of the family's 1533-position model. The record is from RNAcentral.